This 200-nucleotide ribosomal RNA is filed under the name uncultured bacterium. RNAcentral's name for it is "partial 16S ribosomal RNA". It matches the Rfam family "Bacterial small subunit ribosomal RNA", at positions 30 to 232 of the family's 1533-position model. The record is from RNAcentral.
AUUGAACGCUGGCGGCAUGCCUUACACAUGCAAGUCGAACGGUAACGCGGGGCAACCUGGCGACGAGUGGCGAACGGGUGAGUAAUAUAUCGGAACGUGCCCAGUAGUGGGGGAUAGCCCGGCGAAAGCCGGAUUAAUACCGCAUACGACCUACGGGUGAAAGCGGGGGAUCGCAAGACCUCGCGCUAUUGGAGCGGCCG